GACGAACGCUGGCGGCGUGCCUAAUACAUGCAAGUAGAACGCACAGUUUAUACCGUAGCUUGCUACACCAUAGACUGUGAGUUGCGAACGGGUGAGUAACGCGUAGGUAACCUGCCUGGUAGCGGGGGAUAACUAUUGGAAACGAUAGCUAAUACCGCAUAAUAUUGAUUAUUGCAUGAUAAUUAAUUGAAAGGUGCAAUUGCACCACUACCAGAUGGACCUGCGUUGUAUUAGCUAGUAGGUGAGGUAACGGCUCACCUAGGCGACGAUACAUAGCCGACCUGAGAGGGUGAUCGGCCACACUGGGACUGAGACACGGCCCAGACUCCUACGGGAGGCAGCAGUAGGGAAUCUUCGGCAAAGGACGAAAGUCUGACCGAGCAACGCCGCGUGAGUGAAGAAGGUUUUCGGAUCGUAAAGCUCUGUUGUAAGAGAAGAACGGGUGUGAGAGUGGAAAGUUCACACUGUGACGGUAUCUUACCAGAAAGGGACGGCUAACUACGU
RNAcentral lists this ribosomal RNA (504 nucleotides) under uncultured bacterium. RNAcentral's name for it is "partial 16S ribosomal RNA". It matches the Rfam family "Bacterial small subunit ribosomal RNA", at positions 28 to 506 of the family's 1533-position model. The record is from RNAcentral.